UGAUGUCGGGGGCAUUGUGCAACUUCAUAAGCUCCUGUUUUCUCACAACAUCUGCUUGUCAACCUCGCUUUCAACUCAACGCUGCCGACGUCAAAAGUGGACCCAAAACAGGGGGAUUGAAAAAAAAGAGGGAUGACUCGAGCACAGAGUACCGGCGAGAUUCCACAGGGGCCUUACCGGCUGAUGAGAGAGAGAGAACAAAGCCAGGCGUGAACGACAGAAGAGAAAUAAAGGAGAAGAAAAGACAGGAGAACAAAAACACUGUCGGCCCUAAAUGUUCCUCCUGCACCUGACAGACAGGCAGACUGACACGUCCAUCCAUUCCCCCAGCCUGCCUUUGUUGCUAUAGAGACUGUUCCUGCUUUGACUCCAGCCUGAUUAAAGUCCACUGUUGGGCUAAGCGUGUGUCUGCUUUCACACAUACGGUUUUAGUCUAAUGAAAAAUAAACUCUUUAUGAUAACCCACAGAGACGACACACAAACUCAUGGGAAUAUAGGAGAACACUGUAUAUAUCUAAAACCACAGGGAAACCCUACACUAAUGCAGAAAGUUAUCUACUUUAUAUCCAAUACACAUUAAUAGUGUUACUGUUCUGAGACAACAAAGUUAACACACAAAAAGACCAUCAGGUCUAAAGUAGACAAACAUUUUUUAAGAGAGUGUGUGUGUGUACUUUAAAGUGGACUACCUGCACAGCCUGCCAAAAGUGUCUUAGCGCUGAAGGCUCUUUGAGGCCGUAUCAGACUCUUCAAUCGUUUAAUAAUCCUGGCUGGCGUGGAGCGGUGAGCGGCUGAGGCUGCCUUUGAAGUGUGUGUGUGAGGAACAGUGGAAGUGUAUCUGAAGGCAGGAGCAUGCACCGCUUACCAGAACUUAAUUAACAAUCUG
Molecule: long non-coding RNA, 886 nt
Organism: Oncorhynchus kisutch (coho salmon)
Lineage: Eukaryota; Metazoa; Chordata; Actinopteri; Salmoniformes; Salmonidae
Exons: 3
Source: RefSeq, a predicted model, not a curated record